Tyto alba (common barn owl) is the source of this 2833-nucleotide long non-coding RNA. RefSeq lists it as uncharacterized. The transcript has 2 exons. NCBI's taxonomy places the organism in Eukaryota, Metazoa, Chordata, Aves, Strigiformes, Tytonidae. The record is from RefSeq and is a predicted model, not a curated record.
GCGCCGCUCCAGCUCGUGGACCUUGGCCAGGAAGCAGCGGAACCGCAGGUUCAGCGUCUUCAGGACGCUGAUGUUGGAGCCCAGGUGACUGUUCCCUUGCUCUGCCUCUGACCAGGGAGGCUGAGCCACAGCAAGCAGCGCUUUUGUCAAGGAAGGGGAGGGCAGGAAGGCUUUCCUCACAGACUGGUGCAGGAGAUCCCCCGUCUUCCCCAAACCCUCACUGCAACAGCAGCCGGACGGGAGCCAUGCACCCAGCAGCAAUAUUACCAAAUAAACAGCCAGGGAAAAGGGAAGGACAGAGGGACAAGAGGGAUCCCAGUCAAGAAGCUUGUUUGAAGCAGCAGCAACAGCUCCAGCUGAGAGACCUCCCAGCCCAUGCCCUGGAAAGCAUCGCCGACUCCCUCCUGUGUGCUGCCAUGUCCCUUCACGCACUCCCGUGCUGCUGCAGCCUGUCUGCAUGCAUGGCCCCCCGCGUUUUCUGCCAGCAUCCUCCCCCCUCGCGUGCCGCUGGGUUUGCCCCCCCAGACCUGCCAGCCCAUUUGCAAAACCCAAGCAGGGCCAGGCAGCAGGGAGCACAGGCAAGGGCAAGGCCACAAACCAUGGAGCAAGCACUUUCCUAAGCUCUGCUUGGCCUGCUUCUGUCCUGCCGGGGAAACCUGGUAAGCAUUUAUUGAUUAAUGAAAUGCCAGUGGAAGAAGGCAUUGCCAUCCAUCAAGAAAAGCUUUUUCACCGGGAGGCCAGCACAGCACUGGAGCAGGUGGUAGGAUCUCCAUCCUUGGUGGUUCUCAGGGCUCAGCUACGCAAAGCCACAGCCACGCGACCUAGUGCUGGGACAGUCCUGCUCAGAGCGAGGGGCUGCGCUAACGACCUCCAGCACCUCUUCCCACCAACACUCCUGUCUCCUGGAAAAGAAAGGGCAAGGUAGGGCCUCCUUUUUUUUUUUGUCCAUAGCUUGGGAUAAAGGAUGACUCCUCAUGCCUAAGGUGGCUUGGGCAAAGGGCCGACCUCUUCUAGUUAACUCCUGAAGAAGCUCAGAGCCUAGACACAAUCCUACCCAGGGAACCACAGUGCUCCUCCAUUGGGCCUCAACUUCACCCCAGCACAACAGCUCUCCCUCCUCAGCUUUCCCUCUUGGUUUACCAAAACCCCUGGCAUUUCUCCAGAUCCUCCAACAGCUCCUGCCCUGAGUUUAUUAGCUCAGGUUCAGCAGUGGCACUGCUGGACCCCAGCUGCUGAGGUGCUGAGCUGCUUCCUCCACCUCACUGCAGCUCUUAAAAUUGUACCUGUAGCCAACACAAGAAUAGAUUCUUAUUCACGGACAUGCUGAUAUUUAUCUUCCACAGAUUUUAAGGCCGAGAAAGAACUGCUGCAUUUUCUGAUCCUGUGCAAAACACACGGUGCAAAAUUCUGUAGCUCAAGUCAAGUACUUGUGUGGGACUGUGACUCUAGUUGCUGACAGCAUGGUAAAAAGAGAUUAAGCCUCUACCACUACCCUUCACGGACAGAUCAAGAUAGAUGCCCCAGGUGGAUAACCACUUAUUAAAAUCACACGCCUUCCCUUGCCUUGCCUCUUAUUUGAAUUUGCCUAGCUUUAUCAUCCAUUGCCAGCUUGAGAUGCUUCCCCUCUCCCAGAUCACAGAACCUCCUACCAGCUAAUGCAUCCUCCUUGAAAAGGUGCUUUCAUAUGCGAAACCUGUUCACGUUAGCCCCACAGCUUUCCUUGAGACUCUUUUUUUUUAAGGCAUAGGCCACAUUAGUGUGUCUACCCCACCUCCCUGCUCUUCUCCUCUCUGAAGACCCCCAGCACUACCUUCUCCCUUAAACCACACUGCUGGAACAUUUCAGCGUAAACUCUCCAAGUCUUCCACUUUCUAGGAUGCCUCGCUAAAACCAACCCAUAAAAUUGCUUCUAUCAUGCAGAUGCUGCAAUGAACAGAUGACUUUUGGGCACCCUGCUGCCUAGCAAAGCCAGCAACCCAGUUGGCUGCCUAGAUUUGGGUGCAAAUGGGGAGAAAUUGGCACAGGGGAGCAGCUGCCAACAGAAGCUUGGUGAUCACCACACAGAAGCGUCCCUGUCUAACAGCAGAGGAGGGAAUGGAUUUUCUUUUUAAAAAACAGUCCAGGGGGGAGUUUUGUAGCCAGAUCUUGCAUGUGAAGGAAGUGCUAUGUACUACAGCCAAGAGCCAGAGACCUAACUGACCUUACUCUUCUCAUCAAUUCCUCAUUGACUACAUCAGGCAGGCGUCCUCUCUGGGGGCUCUCCGCAUCCGCCCUAGCAGGGAUGGACAGCUUCUUGGGGGAGCAAAACCUACUGAUGCGAGCUUGGUCAUUUGUGCAUUCAGCCCCUACAAAAAGUGGCGUGCAUAUCUAGGGGGUUAUGUGCAACAGAACACGUGCUCAAGGAUUUAAUUUUGUACCCAAGUCUCCGAAACGUGCGGCGCAGGAUUUCAGUCCCUUCCUCUGGGUAGAGCCUGAUAUGAGACGGCACAAGCCCAGGCUGCCUGCCUGGCACGGAACAGACAUUACAGCGCGUGACAUCCCUGCAAUUAGUGACCGACCCACAUUGCUACUUCUCUUUCCGUUCUGCGCCAUCGUCCACAGAAGCCUUCGGUUUCCUUCCUCGGCCGGACCGAGGGUGCCCCAGCCCCAGCGCCCUCCCUGUCCCUCCUGGCGUGCAGAGGUGACCUGGCAGCACUCCCGAGCCUGGCAGGCAGGAGUUGCCAGCUGACCACCUUAAUUGUACCCUGCUAAGCCUUCCCUGAUAGACUCACCCCUUUCCGUUUGGGAAGAAGGGUUUGAAGAAUUGCCACUGGAUUAAAGAUCUUACAACGUG